Bos taurus (domestic cattle) is the source of this 744-nucleotide long non-coding RNA. Lineage: Eukaryota; Metazoa; Chordata; Mammalia; Artiodactyla; Bovidae. The record is from Ensembl.
GGGCUCUUUCUUUUUCUGGUGCCAACAACAGAUUCCAAAGCAGCUAUUAUUUGAGGUGCAUAAUUGGCCAAGUGCUCCAGGGGUUAUAAAGACUGCCUUCCUGUAGCUGGAAUAGACAGAUUUAGCCUCUUACUGAAACUGAAGGCUGCAAUGGCGAUAACAAAUCUGAUUCUAACUCUCCCAUGUCACUGCUGCCCAAAGGUGCCUUUGUCUCCCAGGAGAAAGAGGUUGGAGGCUCCACUAUAUUUUGAAUAAAAAAAAAAAAUCUUUCCAAAACCAAGAAGAUCCAUCAUGAUCUGGCCUCAACUACCUGUCCAACCCACCAGCCACAUCGACCUUCUGUUCAGCUGCUAAGAAAACUUAACAAUUUUCUGGUUUCAGAACUAUCACACACUCUUCUCUCUGCCUGCAAUGGCCCUCACCCAAGUGGCUGACUGUAUGUUCCAUGAAAGAAGGGGCCACCAAGUAUAUACACAGUUCCUGGUAUAAUCUUGGCUCAUAAUAGGCUCUCGAUAAAUGUUUGCUGGAAAGCGUGGUGACAGAAGAUCCUCACUGGUAUUCUGCUGCUGUUCUUUAAAAAAUAAAAAGCCUCAUUUUUUCUGCCUUUUGCAUAGUUCUCUACUGCAUUUCACUGGGAAGUGGGAACACUUUACUUUGUUGAAUCAGAAAAGCCCUUGAAAACAAAACAAAGAGAAAAAAGAAAGAAAAGCCCUUGACUUUUCUUUUGUGUAUACUACGCUGGGC